RNAcentral lists this ribosomal RNA (504 nucleotides) under uncultured bacterium. RNAcentral's name for it is "partial 16S ribosomal RNA". It matches the Rfam family "Bacterial small subunit ribosomal RNA", at positions 29 to 523 of the family's 1533-position model. The record is from RNAcentral.
AUUGAACGCUGGCGGCAGGCCUAACACAUGCAAGUCGAACGGUAGCACAGAGAGCUUGCUCUCGGGUGACGAGUGGCGGACGGGUGAGUAACGUCUGGGAAACUGCCCGAUGGAGGGGGGUAACUACUGGAAACGGUAGCUAAUACCGCAUAACGUCGCAAGACCAAAGUGGGGGACCUUCGGGCCUCACACCCUCGGAUGUGCCCAGAUGGGAUUAGCUAGUAGGUGGGGUAAUGGCUCACCUAGGCGACGAUCCCUAGCUGGUCUGAGAGGGUGACCAGCCACACUGGAACUGCGACACGGUCCAGACUCCUACGGGAGGCAGCAGUGGGGAAUAUUGCACAAUGGGCGCAAGCCUGAUGCAGCCAUGCCGCGUGUAUGAAGAAGGCCUUCGGGUUGUAAAGUACUUUCAGCGGGGAGGAAGGCGGUGAAGUUAAUAGCUUCACCGAUUGACGUUACCCGCAGAAGAAGCACCGGCUAACUCCGUGCCAGCAGCCGCAGUAA